RNAcentral lists this ribosomal RNA (330 nucleotides) under uncultured Amorosia. Its description in RNAcentral is "SSU rRNA". It matches the Rfam family "Eukaryotic small subunit ribosomal RNA", at positions 268 to 597 of the family's 1831-position model. Lineage: Eukaryota; Fungi; Ascomycota; Dothideomycetes; Pleosporales; Sporormiaceae. The record is from RNAcentral.
AUCGCAUGGCCUUGCGCCGGCGACGGUUCAUUCAAAUUUUUGCCCUAUCAACUUUCGAUGGUAAGGUAUUGGCUUACCAUGGUUUCAACGGGUAACGGGGAAUUAGGGUUCGAUUCCGGAGAGGGAGCCUGAGAAACGGCUACCACAUCCAAGGAAGGCAGCAGGCGCGCAAAUUACCCAAUCCCGACACGGGGAGGUAGUGACAAUAAAUACUGAUACAGGGCUCUUUUGGGUCUUGUAAUUGGAAUGAGUACAAUUUAAAUCCCUUAACGAGGAACAAUUGGAGGGCAAGUUUGGUGCCAGCAGCCGCGGUAAUUCCAGCUCCAAUAG